Molecule: ribosomal RNA, 253 nt
Filed under: uncultured bacterium
Lineage: Bacteria
Description: partial 16S ribosomal RNA
Rfam family: Bacterial small subunit ribosomal RNA
Source: RNAcentral
UACGGAGGGUGCUAGUGUUAUUCGGAAUCACUGGGCGUAAAGAGCACGUAGGCGGAUAGGUAAGUCAGAUGUGAAAUCCCGGGGCUCAACUCCGGAACUGCAUUUGAUACUGCCUGUCUUGAGUGUGGUAGAGGUGGAUGGAAUUCCCGGUGUAGAGGUGAAAUUCGUAGAUAUCGGGAGGAACACCAGAGGCGAAGGCGAUCCACUGGGCCACUACUGACGCUGAGGUGCGAAAGCGUGGGGAGCAAACAGG